Long non-coding RNA from Schistocerca americana (American grasshopper), 422 nucleotides. RefSeq lists it as uncharacterized. The record is from RefSeq and is a predicted model, not a curated record. The transcript has 3 exons. Lineage: Eukaryota; Metazoa; Arthropoda; Insecta; Orthoptera; Acrididae.
CCCGAUGACAUUGUAAAGAACCAAUGGAGGAUUGCACGUGGUGACCACUGACAAAAACCCAGGACAAAGAUGGCUCCUCUGGACACACAGCUCACAAGGAAUUCUGCAUUAUCUACUUGGCUGAAAGUACACCGAUAUCACCAUGCGCUGCUGCAGUACAUUCCUGCUCUUUGCCCCACUGUCACAGUUUACACAACAGUCAGCGAUCACAAGAAGCUCCUGCCAUUCACUGUUGGCAACCUCUGACUCUUGUGGAUGGGACAAACGCAUUGUAAAAAUUUGAAGAAAAUGAAUGAAUUUAUGCAUCUGUAAUGUAGUAGGUCACAGUUUAAUACUCACGUAUGUUUUAAUCCACAUUCAAUUCAUACACACUUACAGAAAAUACAUAAGCAUCUGUACCAGUGACAAAAAUAAACUAUAUA